This 253-nucleotide ribosomal RNA is filed under the name uncultured bacterium. RNAcentral's name for it is "partial 16S ribosomal RNA". It matches the Rfam family "Bacterial small subunit ribosomal RNA", at positions 524 to 776 of the family's 1533-position model. The record is from RNAcentral.
UACGGAGGGUGCAAGCGUUGUUCGGAAUUACUGGGCGUAAAGCGCUCGUAGGCGGAUUUGUAAGUCAAUUGUGAAAGCCCUGGGCUCAACCCGGGAAUUGCAGUUGAAACUGCAAAUCUUGAAUACCUGAGAGGGUGACGAAAUUCCUGGUGUAGAAGUGAAAUUCGUAGAUAUCAGGAGGAACACCUGAGGCGAAAGCGGUUGCCUGGCAGUGUAUUGACGCUGAGGAGCGAAAGCGUGGGGAGCAAACAGG